GGUUCCGGCUUCACCGCCGGCCAAGAGGGAACGCCGUGAAAUUCGGCGACAGUACCCGCUGCUGUGAAUCCCGUUUUCGCCCGAAACACGCAAAGCCACUGCCCGGCCACGGGGUCGCGCGGGAAGGCGUUUCGGGCGGGGAUAAGUCAGAAGACCUGCCGCCGAGU
This 167-nucleotide non-coding RNA is filed under the name human gut metagenome. The record is from RNAcentral.